AAUGAAUUGCCUGACAAAAGGAAUACCUUGAUAGGGUAUAACAUAUAAUUUAUAUAAUUAUAUUCAUUA
This 69-nucleotide transfer RNA is filed under the name Stictochironomus rosenschoeldi. Its description in RNAcentral is "tRNA-Ile". The record is from RNAcentral. Lineage: Eukaryota; Metazoa; Arthropoda; Insecta; Diptera; Chironomidae.